This 74-nucleotide transfer RNA is filed under the name Anadara broughtonii. Its description in RNAcentral is "Scapharca broughtonii tRNA-Phe". The record is from RNAcentral. Lineage: Eukaryota; Metazoa; Mollusca; Bivalvia; Arcoida; Arcidae.
AAGAAAAGUAUACUAGAAUUGGUGAGUGGAGUAAUGAAAAUACUGUUUUAGUAUUUUUCAUUACUUUUUUUUUG